This 497-nucleotide ribosomal RNA is filed under the name uncultured bacterium. RNAcentral's name for it is "partial 16S ribosomal RNA". It matches the Rfam family "Bacterial small subunit ribosomal RNA", at positions 28 to 507 of the family's 1533-position model. The record is from RNAcentral.
GAUGAACGCUGGCGGCAUGCCUAAUACAUGCAAGUCGAGCGAACGGACGAGGAGCUUUCUUGUCUGAUGUUAUCGGCGGACGGAUGCUUCACACGUGGAUAGCCUACCUAUAAGACUGGGAUAACUUUACGAAACCGUAUCUACUACCCGAUAAUAUUUUGAACCUCAUUGUUCACACGUUAAAUACGCUCUUUCUUUCACUUAUAGAUUAAUCCGCGCUGCAUUAGCUAGUUGUUAAGGUGACGGCUUACCAAGACAACGAGGCAUAGCCGACCUGAGAGGGUGAUUGGACACACGGGAACUGAGACACGGUCCAGACUCCUACGGGAGGAAGCAGUCGGGAAUCUUACGAAAUGGGCGAAAGCCUGACGGAGCAACGCCGCGUGAGUGCUGAAGGUCUUCGGAUCGUAAAACUAUGUAAUUAGGGAAGAACAAAAGUGUAAGUACCUGUGCACAUCAUGACGGUACCUAAUGAGAAAGCCACGGCUAACUCCGUG